Monopterus albus (swamp eel) is the source of this 1104-nucleotide long non-coding RNA. RefSeq lists it as uncharacterized. The transcript is spliced from 2 exons. The record is from RefSeq and is a predicted model, not a curated record. Lineage: Eukaryota; Metazoa; Chordata; Actinopteri; Synbranchiformes; Synbranchidae.
CAGCGGUAACGUCCUCAUUUAGAGACAAGCACCGUCUGUGGGGAUCCUCCUGGUACCUGGCCAAAUUAGGCAACUGCAUUAAAAGAAAAUGUUCAGAAUGACGGUCGUUCAGCUUGGAGUGAUUGUCUUCGUCCUCUGUCUGUCAACACCGGUGCUUUCACAGAGCAAUGCAACCACCCCGAUGGUAAACAGCACCUCCAACACCACAAUGAGACCAAACGCCACCAGUUCAGUAAACACCACCAGUGCAGUCAACAACACCACCACCUUUUCAGGAGCAGGCGCUUUGCUGCAUGCAGGUGGCACCUCCUUUCUCGUCCCCGUCAUCAUGGCAUCGUACUACUAUUGAAGUCGGGAUUCCACAGCCCCACUUGUCUCGACACUCCUCACCACCUUCUAUUCCAUCAUGCCACCCGGGCCAGCCUCCCCCAUCUCAGAGACCACAAGGCUAACGCAGCUGGACUCAAAUCUACUUCAUCCUCAACUUGUAACCAUGUAGUCAAAGAUGUUUCUUUCAAUAAAGGGGGUUUAAUGUUUAGCUGGAGCUCAUCAUGCCUCACCCAAACGGUCCCUUUCAUUGAAUCAAAAGGAUUGGUGGUGCAGCUCCUUGCUUGGCUUGCAUUUCCAUAGUCUCGCAUCACAUCUCGGAUGGCUCAGGGCUGUGGUUUGUCAUGUAGCAUGUCUGUUAAAAUAUGGACCACUUGAAUGUACAGAGAUUCAUUCUGUGGUUUUUAGUUCCACCUGGGAAUCAGUUUUUUUUUUCUUUUUUUUUUUUGGCACAUAUAGUAGGAAAUGGGAAAAUGUCACAUGACACCUGUGGAGUUUUUCAUAGCUUGGCUCUUUAGUCAUUUUACUAAUGUCAGAUGUGUAGCAAAUAAACACAGGAUGUGUCACUUUUACCUGGUGAUUUUUACAAUGAGGGUUUGACACUUUCCACCCCUUCAACCCAAGUGAUGACUGUAUGAAUGUCCUUAUGAGAUGUUGGAUUUAUAUUUCCCCCUUAUAGCUUAUAUUUUGUAUAUAAUGGAAAUGUACCGUUUAUUAGCUUGGGCAUAAGAUAUUGGAAGAAAUGACAAUGUACAAUAAACUGAGAAAUAACAGCUA